Molecule: ribosomal RNA, 253 nt
Filed under: uncultured bacterium
Lineage: Bacteria
Description: partial 16S ribosomal RNA
Rfam family: Bacterial small subunit ribosomal RNA
Source: RNAcentral
UACGAAGGGUGCAAGCGUUAAUCGGAAUUACUGGGCGUAAAGCGUGCGUAGACGGCCUUUUAAGUCUGCUGUGAAAGCCCUGGGCUCAACCUGGGAACUGCAGUGGAUACUGUGAGGCUGGAGCGCGGUAGAGGAUGGUGGAAUUCCCGGUGUAGCGGUGAAAUGCGUAGAUAUCGGGAGGAACAUCAGUGGCGAAGGCGGCCAUCUGGACCAGCUCUGACGUUGAGGCACGAAAGAGUGGGGAGCAAACAGG